Long non-coding RNA from Manduca sexta (tobacco hornworm), 941 nucleotides. RefSeq lists it as uncharacterized. The transcript is spliced from 5 exons. Lineage: Eukaryota; Metazoa; Arthropoda; Insecta; Lepidoptera; Sphingidae. The record is from RefSeq and is a predicted model, not a curated record.
GCGAUCGAUGCACUCCGCUCCGUGCGUCGCAACAACCGCGCACCGGUUACUGUCCGUCGCGUUGGCCACGGGUUCCUCCUGGCUCCGACGAAGCGGCGACCAAGAGCUGACUCUGGCACCCGUCCUCGGCUGCUCCUGUGCGAACUACUUACUGGACGCCUUGAUCGUAUGCUAGUGAGUGUGCUGAAGGCUCCACGGCGAUAAUUCAGGGCGAAUACGUGAAGCCGGAGAGAUAUUAUACGAUUAAGGUGCUGUAGGAACUUACGGUCCUCGUCGCACCUGACACCCACGUCGAGGGGCCUGUUUCUGAGAGCAAGGGUUAGAUCAACUGGGCCAUGCUUGAGAGAUUUCGCCAGAUGUCAAAGGUGGAGACUCUUCGAAGCCACAACAUGUCUUAAUUAGGUACCAACAAGUCCUUACUAAUGGAAUUCUGGAAACCUCACGAAAUUUCCCUUGCACCAGCUUUGGAGGAGGAAGAUGAAAGGAAGGCAAAAGGAAGAAAAGAUGUUGGCAAAAUCCUCAAUGCCCUGAUGAGUGUUUUGCCAGUGGGUGACGAUGCAAUGGAAUUCGCGCCUCAAUUUGCUUCUAACAUUCCUGUGAUUCGUCAGACAUCGAAGAGGCACCGGUUGCUACCAACCGCGGGAAGGAGGAACCACCGUAGGCGUCAUACUCGGGUUCUGGGAACUAGGAGGCCCGCAAGCAUUGAAAACCAAUAUUUCACUUUGUUUAUUCUGACAAAGGACGGGCUGCUCAACGAAAUUCGUAUCACCGAUAAGUUGUAAACCAAGUGUGGAACACGCUUUGGUCCUAUGAGCUUAGCCAACUCAUAUUUCUCCUUAAGAAACUAUUUUAAUUAAGUAAUAUUAUUUUUGUAUUAUUUAAUAUUGUAUUGUGUAUUUGGUACCUAUUUAAUUUAAUUUAUUAAACUACUCCCUCUACUU